Molecule: microRNA precursor, 205 nt
Filed under: Oryza glumipatula
Lineage: Eukaryota; Viridiplantae; Streptophyta; Magnoliopsida; Poales; Poaceae
Description: MIR812 microRNA precursor family
Rfam family: MIR812 microRNA precursor family
Source: Rfam by way of RNAcentral
AAUGUAUGAUGCCGUUGACUUUUUGUCUAACGUUUGACCAUUCAUUUUAUUUAAAAAAUUUACGUAAUUAUAAUUUAUUUUAUUGUGACUUGAUUCAUCAUUAAAUAUUCUUUAAGCAUGACAUAAAUAUUUUCAUAUUUUCACAAAAAUUUUGAAUAAAACGAAUGGUCAAACGUUGGUUAAAAAGUCAACGGUGUCAUAUAUU